RNAcentral lists this ribosomal RNA (188 nucleotides) under uncultured bacterium. RNAcentral's name for it is "partial 16S ribosomal RNA". It matches the Rfam family "Bacterial small subunit ribosomal RNA", at positions 338 to 523 of the family's 1533-position model. The record is from RNAcentral.
CCUACGGGAGGCAGCAGUGAGGAAUAUUGGACAAUGGGCGGGAGCCUGAUCCAGCCAUGCCGCGUGCAGGAUGACGGCCCUAUGGGUUGUAAACUGCUUUUAUACGGGAAGAAACGCACCUACGUGUAGGUGUCUGACGGUACCGUAAGAAUAAGGACCGGCUAACUCCGUGCCAGCAGCCGCGGUAA